Molecule: small RNA, 28 nt
Filed under: Bombyx mori (domestic silkworm)
Lineage: Eukaryota; Metazoa; Arthropoda; Insecta; Lepidoptera; Bombycidae
Description: ovarian small RNA-22454
Source: RNAcentral
UAGCGUUGUUAUAGGCGAUGAUAGCGUA